AAGUCGUAACAAGGUCUCCGUAGGUGAACCUGCGGAGGGAUCAUUACUGAGUGCGGGCGCUAGACGCCCAACCUCCAACCCUAUGUUGAUCGACCCAGUUGCCUCGGGGGCGACCCGGCGCCGGGUCCCCGACGGAACACACCACUCUGCAUUCUUGCGUCGGAGUGGACAACGAAUUGAAUCAAAACUUUCAACAACGGAUCUCUUGGUUCUGGCAUCGAUGAAGAACGCAGCGAAAUGCGAUAAGUAAUGUGAAUUGCAGAAUUCAGUGAAUCAUCGAAUCUUUGAACGCACAUUGCGCCCUUUGGUAUUCCGAGGGGCAUGCCCGUUCGAGCGUCAUUAAGCCCAUCAAGCCCGGCUUGGUAUUGGGUCCCCGGGGGCGACCCGGACCCCAAAAGCGUCGGCUGCGCAGUGUGGAACCCAGCGUCGUGAAUCCAAUUCGCCGGCGGGAAGGACUGCGUGCGCCGUGAAACUUUUCUAUUCAAGGUUGACCUCGGAUCGGGUAGGGAUACCCGCUGAACUUAA
Molecule: ribosomal RNA, 525 nt
Filed under: uncultured fungus
Lineage: Eukaryota; Fungi
Description: eukaryotic LSU rRNA
Rfam family: 5.8S ribosomal RNA (bases 186-339)
Source: RNAcentral